UUCAAUGCUAUGACGGAGAACAGUACUUGAUUCCUUUUACAUAAAAGCGAACCUAGGAUGGUGAGAGCUAGGGAUGUAAACAUCAAGGAAGGCACUCUUGAGCAUGAACGAUGAAAAGAAAGUGGCCUAUGGUGUCAUCAUAGGCAAAUAGGGUGGAACCGCGGGUUAACUCUCGUCCCUAUG
RNAcentral lists this non-coding RNA (183 nucleotides) under Halalkalibacterium halodurans. Its description in RNAcentral is "Bacillus halodurans T-box sequence". It matches the Rfam family "T-box leader". From Rfam's summary of the family: Uncharged tRNA acts as the effector for transcription antitermination of genes in the T-box leader family. Lineage: Bacteria; Bacillati; Bacillota; Bacilli; Caryophanales; Bacillaceae. The record is from RNAcentral.